AUUGAACGCUGGCGGCAUGCUUUACACAUGCAAGUCGAACGGUAACAGGCCUUCGGGUGCUGACGAGUGGCGAACGGGUGAGUAAUGCAUCGGAACGUACCCAGAGGUGGGGGAUAACGCAGCGAAAGCUGUGCUAAUACCGCAUGUGAUCUGAGGAUGAAAGCGGGGGACCGAGCAGCAAUGUUUGGCCUCGCGCCUUUGGAGCGGCCGAUGUCGGAUUAGCUAGUUGGUGGGGUAAAGGCCUACCAAGGCGACGAUCCGUAGCUGGUCUGAGAGGACGACCAGCCACACUGGGACUGAGACACGGCCCAGACUCCUACGGGGGGCAGCAGUGGGGAAUUUUGGACAAAGGGCGCAAGCCUGAUCCAGCAAUGCCGCGUGCGGGAAGAAGGCCUUCGGGUUGUAAACCGCUUUUGGCAGGAACGAAACGGUGUCCGCUAAUACCGGGCGCUAAUGACGGUACCUGCAGAAUAAGCACCGGCUAACUACGUG
This 492-nucleotide ribosomal RNA is filed under the name uncultured bacterium. Its description in RNAcentral is "partial 16S ribosomal RNA". It matches the Rfam family "Bacterial small subunit ribosomal RNA", at positions 29 to 507 of the family's 1533-position model. The record is from RNAcentral.